CGCUGGAGCCGCGGAGAGGGGCUUAGCGCCCGGCUGCUCUGGGGACUCACGGUGGGAGAGCGUUUUAGUGGGGUCAGGGACCCUCUGUCCCCCCCCCUCCGCUUUGCCCCCGGUUUUGAAACCAAGCAGUUAUUGCUAAAUCGGUCGGUUCACGGCUACAAGUAACACCCGUUAUUUAGGCAGGUCUUCAAGAUACAGUCAUUUCCAAAUUAGCUUGGACAAAGUAGGGCCCGGCCGGAAAGCAAAAAGUUGUCGUAUACGUCCUCGGAUGCAUUUGCAAGAAGCUGGAGCUAAUCCUUUUUCUUAACUUUGGUGCCUGAGAGUCUUCUCACUGGGAAAUGCCAUACAGUCUCCUCUUUCCUCUAGAUGAGAUGUCUGAUAAGGACAGGUGAGUUUCUAUUUCAUUAUGUCUGAAUAUGCCCUGCAUCAGUGAGUUACAUCUCAUAGAUGCAGCAUCUUUGAUGUCUUUACUGAGGCCUUUUUUCAGGCAGAAAGAAAGAUGCCCACCCCUGAACAGACCCACACAGACACAGACACACACAUGCACGCACACACACCUGCAUCCCCUAACCAAAUGUAACGCCUGAACUUGCAAACCCUUUGUCAUGACAGUAAUCUUUAUUCACGUGGGCAACCCCGCAGGACUAUUCAUGCAAUGGAGAAUUACUCACAUGAGUAAAACUUUGCAGGAUCAGGUCCUGGAUCUAACAACAGCAUUUUAAUUACAGACAAUCCCCAAGCAAUGUGUACAAAAGAGUUUUUUCCUGGACAAUAACAAAGGUUAUUAGCCUGUUCUUUUUUCCCCUUCUUGCUCUUUGGUUUAAAAGGAGGCACCAAUAAUCCAAACCAAAUAAAACUGACCU
This is a long non-coding RNA of Cygnus olor (mute swan), 863 nucleotides long. RefSeq lists it as uncharacterized. The record is from RefSeq and is a predicted model, not a curated record. The transcript has 3 exons. NCBI's taxonomy places the organism in Eukaryota, Metazoa, Chordata, Aves, Anseriformes, Anatidae.